GAGCAGGGGGUGAAGCAGGGGCCAGGACUGAAGCCCCACAGGGGGCGCUGCAGGGGCCUCGGAUGCAGUGCAAGCCUCUGUGGGCGGCACAUCAGCUGCCGGGACUGGAGCCUUUGUGGGUGGUAGGUCAGGUAUGAUGGGCAGAACAGGCAGGUCAGGCAUGAUGGGUAGAACAGGCUGGUUAGACAGCACAAGAUCAGGCGGGUCGGGAACAUUAGGCGCUGGUGGGUCAGGAACCGAUAGAGCAGGAACUGUGGAGGGCCUUGCAGGGACCUCUGACACAGGAACAGCAGGGGGUGCUGCAGGGCCCGCAGGGGGCGCUGCAGGGACAGCUGGUGCAGGAACCUCCAAGGCCGCAGCCAGCACGGGCGGUGCGAGUACCAUGGGGGGCAGAGCAUCCACUGCCGGUGAAGGGGAAGGCACUUCAGGUGCAGGCACAGCCUCACCUGUCGAGGGAACCUGCUCUGUCCUCAACCGGAGACGGCUCCGCAGGUUCUCUUUCAAUUAGUCCAGCUUGCGUGGUGAGGAAGUUGGGCUGAAGGCUGCAAACUCCCCUUGCAGCUGUGUACACAGCUGGGUAGCCUCUGGGGACUCCUGUACUGUUGCAUUCUCCAGCACCGUCCAGAAAAGACCCUGGAGGGUGAAGAACGUCCCAGCCAGGGACGUAAUGGCGGGCAGAUGAGUCUCUGGCUUCCUUUCAGGGGCAACGGCAGCAAUGCGAGCUUUAGGCGAUCGCUCCAGCGAAGCUGCAGUGAUGACGUCACUCGCAAACGCCUCCGGAUUUGGAAUCGGGAGGAGUUCCUCCUGACAUGUGCAGGGCAUGCAGCGGAGAUAGAGACGACCUGCCUCAGAUUUGCUUCAGCCGCCCCGCAUCUCAGCUGUCGCAGGUUGUUGUUCACUUUCUCCAGGAAUUGAGAGUUGUCAGAUGGGGACAACUCGUCUAACAUGUCCCUUGUCCAGAGGGCGAGAGCUUGCAGCCCGGGGUCCUUUUUAAUCUCGGUCUGAUCGCGCUAAUAAAGAGCCUCAUCAGCCUGAUUGAGGUAUCGCUCCUCGAUCCGAGCAGGCGUCUUCUUGUUCAAGAGUCCUGUCAUUCUGUGACGUCCGUGUGCAGGGCGAGCGAGCAGGGUGCGGGGAAGCAGGGUUAGGCACACAGAGAUCCAAACAAGGGGGUUUAUUAGCCAAAGCGAGCAACGGAGAACAACACGUCAGACACUUCAAUGACAGUACUGGGGAAACACUCGAAUGCAGACUAAAUACACAUUAUUAAGGGACGGAAAUGCAGAACGGCUGAGAAGAAUCAGGAAUUCACAUGAGUGACCUCAGGUUGAGUAUCUGCAGAAAGUGAGUAUUUAAUAAAUAACUUCUAUACUGUACCAGACUCACUAGUGGAGUUUGAGAAUACUUUCAGGUCGAAGCUGGUUGAUGUAAUUUGAAUGGUGUGUCACAAGUCAUAGAAGCACCAUAAAUUACAGUGUCUGACAUAACGUAGCACCAUCUGUGGUACACACUUGCAGGGAUCUGACUCUCAGUGAGUUACAUUACAACCACAUUCACACCAGGGCAGAGACAGAGAGCCUUGUUAAUAGAGGGUUCCUUGUGUGCUUUCCUGAUCUUAAGAGUGAUCCCUAAUCCCUGUUUAUCUCCAUUUCACAGGUAAAUUUAUUUGUUUAAGUUAAUUACUAUUCAACACAGAUACUACGGAACUGGAAGAAGCAUUUAACAAACUGAAUGUACAAUGUACACUACUGUUCAAAAGUUUGGGGUCACUUAGAAAUCUCAUUGUUUCCAAAAGAAAAGUAAUUUUUUUGUCCAUUACAAUAACAUCAAGUUAAUCAGAAAUCCAUUGCAGACAUUGUUAAUGUUGUAAGUGGCUACUGCAUAUAACUAAAAACGUAACACCUACACUGGCAUACAGAGGUCCAUUAUCAGUAAGUAUAUCAUCAGGCCCAAGGCAAAUUUGAUCAUUAGAAAUCCCUUUUGAAAUUAUGUUAGCACAGUUGAAAACUGUUGCAAUAAAACUGGCCUUCUUUAGAUGAAUUGCGUAUCUGGAGCAUCAGCAGUUAUGGGUUUGAUUGAAGAUCCAAAAUGGGCAGAAAUAAAGAGGUGUCUUUUGAAACACUUUCAUGUAUUCUUGUUUUGAAAUACGAAGGCUAUUCCUUGGGAAACGUCUAAGAGACCCCAAACUUUUCAACGGUAGUGUACUUGAAGAUUAGAAAAACCAAUAUAAUGUCCACUGUGAACCACACUGUCCCAUCUAAAUGUUUCCUUUGAACCACACUCCUAGGCUGAGGCUCCCACUGCCCCAGGUUCCUGACAGUCAUGAUGUCCAAAUGGAACCUGGACUCAACGGAUUUGAGUUGAACUUUUACUGUAUGCUUAAAAAACAUGGUUAGCAUUUGGGGCCCAAGCAUUUUGGCUCACAGUGGUGCCCUCCCUAGUCAUUGUUCCUGUUCUCAUUUUAUCCUUCUAUCUGUAGAGUCUCAUUGAUUCAAAGUCUUCAGCAAGCCUCAGCUGCUAGGCUCACCAGUGGUUUUCAGCACAGCCUUGCCCUCAAAUCAGAGAUAGGAAAGGGAAGCGCUAUCUUCCACUUUCAAAAGGUUUUCAUCAUGCCGGAGUAACAGGGCCAUCAGGGGACCUAUGUGACCAGUCAGGGCGUGGGAAGAUGAUCACCAUGGUACCAUGUCUAGGACAACAGCACUGCAGUUACACCUGUGGCCCUGCUGUUUGGCCACAAUUAUUCCACCUCUUGCAGAACGCAGCUCUGACAAGGUCCUUAGCCACAGAGUGGCCUGUGUGAACUGGGUUGUCUAAUCUGGUUUGAAGCUAAGCAGCAUGAAGUCUCUUCCAAGUACAUAAAUGGUAAGGAGAAUUUUGAGGAUAUGUUUGUGUAAAUGCUAGAAAAUCAUUAACUGACAUCAUAAAACUGACCAAGUUCCAAAUAUGAGUCAUGCUGAAGAAUGUGUUGGUGUAAUAAAACAAAUGACCUAAUAUCAGGUCAGACAUUGAGGCCAAACCACUGAUUAGACCCAGAGCUCUACCACAACUUGCUUUUUGUUGACUGAAUGUACAUUUUUGUGUUGCCUUCCAUACCAGGUUUUCAAAAGUGCACUGUAAUUAGGAAUUAAUUGAUAACACAGGAGUAUCUAACUACAUGACAAAAAAUUCUCCCCCUAACAUGUCUACCUUUAACCCACCCAUAGCCAGGGCAGUUCUUUCUUUCUUUCUUUCUUUCUUUCUUUCUUUCUUUCUUUCUUUCUUUCUUUCUUUCUUUCUUUCUUUCUUUCUUUCUUUCGUUUUCUUUCUUUCUUUCUUUCGUUUUCUUUCUUUCUUUCUUCCUGUAAAAAAUUGUAUAUGCUAUUUAGCUAAAGUAGAGAUUUGUUUAUCUUUAGGUAGCACUAAUAAAUAUAAAAAAUAUAAUAAAUCAAUGAUAAUAACCCUGCUUCCAAUGCACCUGUCAUGUCAUGAAUCAAAGUGCCACAGUGAGGUAGAUUUCACACUUACCCCUUGUGGCAAUGGUAGAAUGUCUCUGCAGUGGUGCACAGACAUAUGGUUAUUUGCCAAGCCUUAUGGUUAACUGUAAUAUAUUGUGAUAGAAGACUACUUACGGAAGAGAGACAACAGACACGGACUCUGUGAGUUCACUUGUUUCUUUUUACUACUACUUCCACACAUCCGGUCACACACAAUACGUAGAAACAAGGAGGCGUGGUUUAUACGUAAAUGUCACUCAGGAAUCUAUUACAUUAACCGUAAGUAACUAAAAAAAACAAGACUUUUGACAUGUUACCUACCAUGCUUGUCCAUUAAUGUAUUAGUGCACUCUUUGACACCUGCACUCUCUUCCUUUCUUCCCACAUGUCUGGAGGGUGCCCGAGGGGGCACCUUCUGAGCUGCCAUCAGGGUCUACGGAAGGGUGCCCUCACAGAUGUGACCUGUGAUUUAUGAUGUCGGUGCAGCUUCCAUCCUGCCACCCGACACAGGCCUAUGUGGAGGACUGUCUCACUGAUGGACUUUAACUAGGACCGGAUCACAGUUUACACCUUGCUCUUAGCAAACAAUCCAGCUACUUCUCUACCUUUGUCCAGUAAUGUUAGCAUGUCCAGGGGGGUUGGGCUGCCAGUUGACCUUGGACCCCCAGAGGUUUUUUUUCCCCCUACUUGGGAGUUUUUGGAUCCUCUCCUCUGCUGUCAUCUGACUUUCUCUUUUAUUAUUCCAUUUUCACUGUUUCUGUGUUCUGUCGUUAUCUUUGUUAAGGAUGUUCCACAACACACUCCUGUAAAGUGCAUUGGGGCAACUUUGUUGUGAAAUGCGCUAUAUAAAAAUAAAUUGAAUUGAAUUGAAUGUUUAGUUUUUUGAUUGUAGUCACAGACUUCUAUAAAAUUGAGUCUCCCUUUGUGUGGACUGGAAAAAACGGUCCCCGCAAUGACAAAAUAUCAGGUUUUUAUCACAUUGUCAGGACAUUUGGUCCCCACAAUGUAAUAUGUACAUGAGAGACACACAAACGCUCACACCUAUGGAUAAUUUGGUAUUACCAAUUCACCAUAACCUGUUUUUUGGGGGGAAACAGGAGAACCUGGAGGAAGCACCACUACAGUAUGACAUGAGAAGAAUGUGCAAGGUCCACACACAAGGAGCCGGUCCCAGACGUCUGAGGCGACAAUGCUAACCACUGUGCCGCUUCACCCCUCUGUUCCAGCCUGCAUUGCAGGUUGGUAUACUCAGCUCUCUAGUGAUUAUGGCCCAUGCAGCUUCCAACAGUAUCUUGCGUCCUGCAGACACUCGUAUGUGUGUCUAUGUGCACAUGAUUUGCUAUCUUUGUGAUGGGGAAUUUGUAGAACAUGUUCUCAGUCAGAUAGCAGAACCUGAAAAAACAGGCACUCUGGGAACAUACAAAACAUGUGCUUAAACAGCUGCUGAAAAGAAAAAAGUGAAGUAGCACAGUAGGUUUUUUUUUAAUCCCUCUGCAAUCUGUUGGAUUGGGGCUAGGAAUCAUCAAUGGCAUUACCUGGGGAAUCCCAUGAGGGUCUAUGUUUGUGUAUUGUCCCAUAGGGAUCUUGGGUCUGGGAAUUCGGUUUAUGGUGCAGCCAUCUCGUCUUCAUGUAAUCAUGCCCCCCCCCCCCAAAAUCUGGACUCAUCCGGUAACCUUUUCUCCAGUGCCAAAAUACCUGUCCUGAAUUGUGGUUUGAGCAGUUUGCCUUGAUUUUGGAUUCUCUUCUGAAUGAUCCUUUUUAAUUUAGACUGAUUUUGCCUGAUCUAUCUUCUUCUGGCUUUCAGCAAUUUUUAUAUGUGAUCUGAUUUUAUAAAUUAAACUGAGAUUGUAUCCUGUUUAGUGUCUCUGUGGCAGUAUAAAGUGAUACCUUUAAAAAUUAUGUACUAACAUUAAAGAUGAGCCCUUACUUACUGAAACAUAUUUACUGAGAUUAUUCCAGGAGAGUAGACAUCUUUUCGAUGUCUUACUCUAUUAUGCUUAAUUAGUGGACUUGUCAAGUUGAUUAGCAAGCAAUUUGAUAGAUACCAACAUUCUACAUUUUACUGUACCCCUUAAACAAAACCACAGCUUUGUUUUCAAUGGUCUGAAGUCCCAGAAGGGAAACGCUGAGUGAAUAAAAUGUACCAUGUACCAGAAAGGGGAGAAUCGUCAUUGGAUUGGGGCAGUGAUUCCCCAGGAAUGCUGCAGGAACAGUGCUUUGGCCUUUUCAAACUGUGCCAGAAGUGUUUAAAGUCAAAUGCUGAUCAUCAGCAGUGAGUUCAGGAUGUCAUAACUGAUUUCAUGUAACCAUCUGACACCAGCAAACCGAGAUUAACCUAAA
Molecule: long non-coding RNA, 5810 nt
Organism: Brienomyrus brachyistius
Lineage: Eukaryota; Metazoa; Chordata; Actinopteri; Osteoglossiformes; Mormyridae
Exons: 3
Source: RefSeq, a predicted model, not a curated record